AGGUGUGCCUAAAAGUAGUGUUGAAUCAAUCAUAUGAUCUUGUCAAGAUCAAGUUACAUACGUGUCUGCUUUUUUUAUAAAAGUUAUAAACUAGUUUUCUUAAACCUAAUUCAGUUGAGUAUUAAGAUAGAAAAACUACAAUAAUAAAAAACCGAGAGGGUCAAUAUAAAUAAAAAAAUAGCUAAGGUUAACUCUUUUACCUCGUGUAUCAUGGGUCACUAAAUAAGGUUUAAAUUAUUUCUACCCGAAAGUUAGUGAGCUUUUUUUUAGUUGUUAAGAACUUAAACUUUACUGUGUCAUAAGUAUUAUAAAACUCAAAUAAAGAGGUUAUAUGCCUGUCGCACUAACAGAUAGCUGGUUGUAAAUAAAAUAUAUAUAAGUAUAGAUUCAUUAUGAAUUUUACUAUUUUUGGGUUAAGCUAAAAAUAGAAGUUAAUAGGCACAUCUAAAUUUAUUUUUUUUUUUUAGGCUUACAAAUAGCCUUACAAGUAACUGUUACAAGGCAAAACAAAAAAAAAUUUAAUUAUAUAAAUGCCAUUAAGAUUAAUUUGCAAUUAAGAGUAAUUAUUUCUAAAGAUAAAAUGGUGAUAUGAGUAUUAGAUAUCAUAUUUUAUAUUACUACAAAAAAAAUUGUAAAAGGAACUCGGCAAAAAGAGCAACGACUGUUUAACAAAAACAUAGCUUCUYGAAAUUAUUUGAAGUARAGUCUGCCCAGUGACUGAGAAGUUAAACGGCGCGUGGCCUAAGGUAGCAUAAUAAUUUGUCUUUUCAUUGGAGGAUAGUAUGAAUGGACGAACGAAGCUCAGCUGUCUCUUACAAUCACAUAAAAAUUGAUUUUUAGGUGAAAAAUCCUAAAUAAAUAAGAAGGACGGAAAGACCCUGUAGAGUUUUAACUAAUUAUUCAUCAUUUUGUUGAUUAUAGUUUUUAUUGGGGCAAUAUUAGAAAAAAAAAAAAUCUAAUUAUUUUUUAUUGUUAUAACAAUUGUUUAACCCUCUAAGAGAAAAAAGAAAAACUACCUCAGGGAUAACAGCGUUAUCCUACCAGAGAGAUCUAAUCGAAGGUAGAGAUYGCGACCUCGAUGUUGGA
Molecule: ribosomal RNA, 1086 nt
Filed under: Celleporella hyalina
Lineage: Eukaryota; Metazoa; Bryozoa; Gymnolaemata; Cheilostomatida; Hippothoidae
Description: partial 16S ribosomal RNA
Rfam family: Bacterial large subunit ribosomal RNA
Source: RNAcentral